AUCUAACUAAUUGGUUGGGAAGCUUUUAUGAAUACUCAAGUAAUGGCAAGGCCGGUCUGUGAUUGCCAAAUCUCGAGGCGAAGUUCAUAAAUUAGACCCUCCAAAAUUAACGUAAAUACAAAAUUCGACGAUAUAUUAUAGCAAAACCAACAAGUUGAUCAUAACACUUUUAACUGUCGUAUCCUGUGAGUCCUGUUAAGACACUUCUCAACAGCUAUAUGUAAGAAUAUAACUGCAUUUCCUUUUCUCAAAAAAUAUUCCAUAAGAACAUCAACACAUUUUCUUUUGUGCUCCAAGUACCAACAACUUUUAUUCAAGAAAAUAGCUUUAAAAGUCAGAAAUUUUAAAUUCUCGCCACAUUCAAUAAGUUGUUCAAUAAUCAAAUCGAUUAAAAUCUUUAUAUCAAGUCUGUGUAGUAAGCAAAUUCUUCUAACAAAUUAAGAACAUUCAUAACCUCUAAAUCCCCACAAAUCUAGUAAUUUUUUCAAUAGUAGACAAAAAAAGACAAACUUUCAAACAAAUAAAAAGCAACGAGAAAAUACCAACAAUAGUGCAAGAAUAAUUGUAAAAUAUGGCACACAAAUGAUUUAAUACGAAAAUUUGAACAGCCUUGCUUUGGCAAAAAAAACCCAUCUGCAACAAAUUCAAAAACUCCUCUCUAAGCUCCAAAGUCUCAUAGAGAUCGGGACUAUUUAUAAACUUAUUAAACAUUUUGCUAGGAGAUGAAGAACUUAAUUUUCAAUUUCUUUAAAGUUUAGUGCUAUGCUCAAGGAUUUUAUUAAACAUGACUAGGGUUUAUUCUUUUCUUAGAUAUGACAGAUUAUUCGACAAAAUAUUGAGAAUAUUUUGUCUAAUUUCCCCUAUAUUCAUCAGAAUAAUAUUUUGUCUAAUUUCCCCUAUAUUCAUCAGAAUCAACAAGCUUUUGCAGUCUUAAUAUCUAAUUUCCAAUGCAUCAUAAACUACAUACAAAUUUGAGUAAAGAAAAAAAUCUAACCUUGUUAGCCACCGCCUGUGGAUUGUGACGGAGAAGAAAGAAGAUGAGAAGACAGCCACUAAAGAGAAGGAAGAAGAGAA
This 1074-nucleotide long non-coding RNA is filed under the name Olea europaea (common olive). RNAcentral describes it as "long non-coding RNA (OEUR_LNC013526)". Lineage: Eukaryota; Viridiplantae; Streptophyta; Magnoliopsida; Lamiales; Oleaceae. The record is from RNAcentral.